UACUAGCUGCGGGUCCACUUGAUGAAUAUGCGAAUCGAUCCCUCCAGCAGUAAUAAUCAUAUUUUCACCAGCAAUAACCUCAGUGGAAGGUCCUACAAUUAAGUUUGGAUGAAUGCCAUCCAUAUAAUCUGGGUUGCCCGCGUGACCAAUUCCGUAAAUUUUUCCAUCUUUAAUUCCGAUAUCUGCUUUAAUAAUUCCCCAAUAGUCUAAUAUAAGGACGUUAGUAAUGACUAAAUCAAGAGCACUCUCUCUUGUUGCAUGGGGAGCCAUUCCCAUCCCAUCGCGUA
Molecule: small RNA, 287 nt
Filed under: Bacillus sp. FJAT-27231
Lineage: Bacteria; Bacillati; Bacillota; Bacilli; Caryophanales; Bacillaceae
Description: 5' ureB small RNA
Rfam family: 5' ureB small RNA
Source: Rfam by way of RNAcentral